Molecule: ribosomal RNA, 494 nt
Filed under: uncultured bacterium
Lineage: Bacteria
Description: partial 16S ribosomal RNA
Rfam family: Bacterial small subunit ribosomal RNA
Source: RNAcentral
GACGAACGCUGGCGGCGUGCUUAACACAUGCAAGUCGAACGGAAAGGCCUGUCCUUCCUUGUGUUGGACGGGUACUCGAGUGGCGAACGGGUGAGUAACACGUGAGUGAUCUGCCCCCAACUUGGGUAUAGGCCUGGGAAACUGGGUCUAAUUCCCGAUAGGACUGCAGGGUGGUGCCUGUGGUGGAAAACGAUUUUCUAGUGGUUGGGGAUGAGCUCGCGGCCUAUCAGCUUGUUGGUGGGGUAAUGGCCUACCAAGGCGGCGACGGGUAGCCGGCCUGAGAGGGUGGACGGCCACAUUGGGACUGAGAUACGGCCCAGACUCCUACGGGAGGCAGCAGUGGGGAAUAUUGCACAAUGGGCGGAAGCCUGAUGCAGCGACGCCGCGUGGGGGAUGACGGCCUUCGGGUUGUAAACUCCUUUCGACCGCGAGGAAGCCGCCUGGUUGGAAGGGUGGUGACGGUAGUGGUAGAAGAAGCACCGGCUAACUACGUG